GACGAACGCUGGCGGCGUGCUUAACACACGCAAGUCGAACGGAAAGGCCCUGCUUUUGUGGGGUGCUCGAGUGGCGAACGGGUGAGUAACACGUGAGUAACCUGCCCUUGACUUUGGGAUAACUUCAGGAAACUGGGGCUAAUACCGGAUAGGAGCUCCUGCUGCAUGGUGGGGGUUGGAAAGUUUCGGCGGUUGGGGAUGGACUCGCGGCUUAUCAGCUUGUUGGUGGGGUAGUGGCUUACCAAGGCUUUGACGGGUAGCCGGCCUGGGAGGGUGACCGGCCACAUUGGGACUGAGAUACGGCCCAGACUCCUACGGGAGGCAGCAGUGGGGAAUGUUGCACAAUGGGCGGAAGCCUGAUGCAGCAACGCCGCGUGCGGGAUGACGGCCUUCGGGUUGUAAACCGCUUUCGCCUGUGACGAAGCGUGAGUGACGGUAAUGGGUAAAGAAGCACCGGCUAACUACGUG
This 468-nucleotide ribosomal RNA is filed under the name uncultured bacterium. RNAcentral describes it as "partial 16S ribosomal RNA". It matches the Rfam family "Bacterial small subunit ribosomal RNA", at positions 28 to 507 of the family's 1533-position model. The record is from RNAcentral.